RNAcentral lists this transfer RNA (73 nucleotides) under Diaphorina citri (Asian citrus psyllid). It matches the Rfam family "tRNA". Rfam says of the family: Transfer RNA (tRNA) molecules are approximately 80 nucleotides in length. Their secondary structure includes four short double-helical elements and three loops (D, anti-codon, and T loops). The record is from Rfam by way of RNAcentral. Lineage: Eukaryota; Metazoa; Arthropoda; Insecta; Hemiptera; Psyllidae.
GCCUAGUUAGCUUGGUUGGUAGCGCGUCUGCCUUGUAAGCUCUAAGCCGCGGGUUCGAUUCCCGCCCGUGGCG